This 223-nucleotide ribosomal RNA is filed under the name Trieres chinensis. RNAcentral's name for it is "partial Bacterial small subunit ribosomal RNA". It matches the Rfam family "Bacterial small subunit ribosomal RNA", at positions 153 to 372 of the family's 1533-position model. The record is from RNAcentral. Lineage: Eukaryota; Bacillariophyta; Thalassiosirophyceae; Eupodiscales; Parodontellaceae.
AAAAAGAAUUUUAAAAUAUUACUACUUUUAUAAAAAAAUUGUUUAUAAACGUAAAACUUAAAAUUUGCUAUUAGAUAUUUCUAUAAAAGAUUAGGUAGUUGGUAGUAUUAAAAGUUUACCAAGCCCGUGAUCUUUAGUUGGUCUGCGAGGAUGAUCAACCACACUGGAACUGAGACAAGGUCCAGGCUGUUUUUUCGGCCAGCAGUGGGGAAUAUUGGACAAU